This 497-nucleotide ribosomal RNA is filed under the name uncultured bacterium. RNAcentral describes it as "partial 16S ribosomal RNA". It matches the Rfam family "Bacterial small subunit ribosomal RNA", at positions 28 to 507 of the family's 1533-position model. The record is from RNAcentral.
GACGAACGCUGGCGGCGUGCCUAAUACAUGCAAGUAGAACGCUGAAGAGAGGAGCUUGCUCUUCUUGGAUGAGUUGCGAACGGGUGAGUAACGCGUAGGUAACCUGCCUUGUAGCGGGGGAUAACUAUUGGAAACGAUAGCUAAUACCGCAUAACAAUGGAUGACACAUGUCAUUUAUUUGAAAGGGGCAAUUGCUCCACUACAAGAUGGACCUGCGUUGUAUUAGCUAGUAGGUGAGGUAAUGGCUCACCUAGGCGACGAUACAUAGCCGACCUGGGAGGGUGAUCGGCCACACUGGGACUGGGACACGGCCCAGACUCCUACGGGAGGCAGCAGGAGGGAAUCUUCGGCAAUGGGGGCAACCCUGACCGAGCAACGCCGCGGGAGUGAAGAAGGUUUUCGGAUCGUAAAGCUCUGUUGUAAGUCAAGAACGGGUGUGAGAGUGGAAAGUUCACACUGUGACGGUAGCUUACCAGAAAGGGACGGCUAACUACGUG